UCUCUUUAACUUGACUCUAUUUUUUUCUCUCCCCGUCUCUUCCCUGGCCUUGCCCUCUCUCUUCCUGCCUCGUAGCCGUGGGCGUCCAAAUGAAGCUGGAAUUCCUCCAGCGCAAAUUCUGGGCGGCAACACGGCAGGAUCUGGACUGCUUCGUCAUCGACAACAACGGGUUCAUUCUGAUCUCCAAGAGGUCCCGAGAGACGGGAAGAUUUCUGGGGGAGGUGGAUGGUGCUGUCCUGACCCAGCUGCUCAGCAUGGGGGUGUUCAGCCAAGUGACCAUGUAUGACUAUCAGGCCAUGUGCAAACCCUCGAGUCACCAUCACAGUGCAGCCCAGCCCCUGGUCAGCCCAAUUUCUGCCUUCUUGACGGCGACCAGGUGGCUGCUGCAGGAGCUGGUGCUGUGAGUGGGGGUAGACACGGGGCUGGUGGAGGGCUGCAUGCGAGGGUGGCUUAGGAGGGUGUCCUUGAGCAGGAGGCUGCAAGGUCUCCAGGACAACCCACUUGCUACCAGACCCUGGGGAAGGAGGGCACAAUCCCUGGGCAUGGACACCACCUCUU
This 558-nucleotide small RNA is filed under the name Pan troglodytes (chimpanzee). RNAcentral describes it as "retained intron". Lineage: Eukaryota; Metazoa; Chordata; Mammalia; Primates; Hominidae. The record is from RNAcentral.